Molecule: unclassified non-coding RNA, 209 nt
Filed under: Hevea brasiliensis (rubber tree)
Lineage: Eukaryota; Viridiplantae; Streptophyta; Magnoliopsida; Malpighiales; Euphorbiaceae
Source: RNAcentral
GUUCAGAAUCACGAUAAAGAGGAUGACUGCAGCAGGUGUUCGUCCAUACCAAAGGAAAUGUCACCUUUGUUGCAGAUCUUUGCUGGAGUAGCAACUCAUAGUUAGAAUUGAACAGAAACACACUAAAAGCCCUAUGGAGCAGAUUCUCAGAUUCUAUCUUUUCCAUUAAAUGGCAGUUAUACUUCGAAUCAUGCCCAACAACAGCAUCA